This 332-nucleotide long non-coding RNA is filed under the name Homo sapiens (human). RNAcentral describes it as "non-protein coding lnc-VAPA-1:1". The record is from RNAcentral. Lineage: Eukaryota; Metazoa; Chordata; Mammalia; Primates; Hominidae.
CAGGAAUCCUGUGGGGAGAGGCUGGUGCUGGGGGAAGACAGAGGAAUGCCUGGAGAGGACAGAAGUGAGACUACACCUGUUGGUCUGGAUUGCAGCUGGAAUUGGAAGGGAAAUGCAUUUCCAUUGAAGGAAGAAGUGUAACAGUGAGCAGGCAGGUGUCAGCGGAUCUCAAGAGAAUAAUGUCAACUGGACAAUGGCUUAGAGGCAGGAGGAGGCAGAUCAGCUAGGCAGAUGUGCAGAAGUUAAGUGUGGUUUCAUGCAGAAACUUCCAAAUGGAUUCAAGAGCCAAAGCCUUCAAGAAGUUGGUGUCAUUGUCACUUGGAAUAUGUUUG